GAUGAACGCUGGCGGCGUGCCUAAUACAUGCAAGUCGAGCGAACAGACGAGGAGCUUGCGCCGCGGACGUGAGCGGCGGACGGGUGAGAAACACGUGUAUAACCUACCUAUAAGACUGGGAUAACUUCGGGAAACCGGAGCUAAUACCGGAUAAUAUAUUGAACCGCAGGGUGCAAUAGUGAGAGACGGUGUUGCGGUCACUUAUAGAUGGAUCCGCGCCGCAUUAGCUAGUUGGUAAGGUAACGGGUUACCAAGGCAACGAUGCGUAGCCGACCUGAGAGGGUGAUCGGCCACCCUGGAACUGAGCCACCGUCCAGGCUCCUACGGGAGGCACCAGUCGGCAAUCUGCCGCAAUGGGCGAAAGCCUGACGGAGCAACGCCGCGUGAGUGAUGGAGGUCUUCGGAUCGUAAAACUCUGUUAUUAGGGAAGAACAAAUGUGUAAGUAACUAUGCACGUCUUGACGGUACCUAAUCAGAAAGCCCCGGCUAACUACGUG
Molecule: ribosomal RNA, 497 nt
Filed under: uncultured bacterium
Lineage: Bacteria
Description: partial 16S ribosomal RNA
Rfam family: Bacterial small subunit ribosomal RNA
Source: RNAcentral